Molecule: ribosomal RNA, 253 nt
Filed under: uncultured bacterium
Lineage: Bacteria
Description: partial 16S ribosomal RNA
Rfam family: Bacterial small subunit ribosomal RNA
Source: RNAcentral
UACGUAGGGGGCAAGCGUUGUCCGGAAUUAUUGGGCGUAAAGAGCGUGUAGGCGGCCAGAUAAGUCCGCUGUGAAAUCUCGAGGCUCAACUUCGAGCUGUCGGUGGAAACUGUCUGGCUAGAGUCCGGAAGAGGAGAAUGGAAUUCCUGGUGUAGCGGUGAAAUGCGCAGAUAUCAGGAGGAACACCGGUGGCGAAGGCGGUUCUCUGGGCCUGUACUGACGCUGAGGAACGAAAGCGUGGGGAGCGAACAGG